GACCAGGCUGUUCUCAUUAAACUUUCGUACGAAAAGCUACUAAAAGUAGUGCACUACAUUCCGUAUGAUUUCCACGUAAUUAUGAGCCAGGACGCCUGGCCACGCCCACAGUGACUGAUGAAGCCAGGACCACGACGAUGUGCACUGCAGGCUGCUGUGAGUUAAAACAUAAAUACAAAUAAAAAAGGAGCAAAAUGUCUUUGGACUGGAAUAAAUGUAUUAUUUGAAAGUAGUAUCUAGGCUCGCAAGUGCAAUGCAGUCUGUUGUUUGGAUGUAAUGCAAAAUAUCGUUGGUAAAGGAAGAACAUGUUGGCUUGUAGCCACGCACUGGGGUAAUCUAAGUUUUGGCAGUACAGACUCACGGGCCAAGGAUGUUUUGAUGAUUAUCAUGGAUUAUCAUUAUCAUGAUAAUCAUUGAUGAUUAUCAACAAUAAAGACUCCAUGCAGUUUGCAUAAAAUGAUUCCGCGGAAUUUGCAACAACAAGCCAACUAACACGGAUGAUGUUUCGUCAAAAAGUCAGAAGGUGGAGCCGAUGAGUUUAAUUCGGGACUACGCUGCCGAGUGAAAAUGCAACAUUAGGCCUACUUCUUUCUUUCGCUUGCCUCAUCAUUGAAAAAUCCUUGCUCCUGAUAUCCUGAUGUAUGGGUUGCAUUAUAUGGAUUUUUUCAUUAUAUGACUCCAACAGAAGACCUACACAAAGGAGCUCAGCCAGCAUGUAAACAAGGCCUUGUUUGUCCACUUCCUGAAGGAGAUGAAGCAUGCUGGCCUGGACACCUCAGUCCUUGCUUCCAUUUACAGCUGUGUUGUGGAGCGCAUUCUCACAUCCUAUGGUCUACUGCAGCGGGUGGCUAUAUCGGUACAGAGGACAAUUGGCAGCAAUAUACUAAUUAUCAAUGACCGUUACAUUAGUAGGAAUAUAUGAGGCUUUCUACAGGUAUUUUGCUAAACAUAGAGGUUGCUAUGGUAGUGGUUGCUAGGUUAUUGCUAGGGUAAUUGAGAAGGUUGCUAUGGUGUUGUUACAGGAUAUAUGGUGGUUGCUAUGCAGGUUUCUAGGGUAAUCAUGUUGGUUGCUAUGGUGGUUUCUAGGUUGGCAUUGUAGUGGUGGUUGCUAGGUUGUUGAUAGGGUAAUUGAUAAGGUUGCUAGGGUAGAUAUGGUGGUUGCUAUGGUAAAUUAAGUGGUUGCUAUGCUGGUUGCUAGGGUAAUUGAGAUGGUUGCUAGGGUAGUCAUGUUGGUUGACUAUCAAAGUGGUUGCUAGGUUGUUGAUAGGGUAACCGAGAAGGUUGUUAGGGUGUUGCUAGGGUAGAUAUGGUGGUUGCUAUGCUAAAUAAAGUAGUUACUAUGCUGGUUGCUAGGGUAAUUGAUAUGGUUGCUAAGGUAGUCAUGUUGGUUGACAAUAUCAAAGUGGUUGCUAGAUUAUUGCUAGGGUAAUUGAGAUGGUUUCUAGGGUCGAUAUAGUGGUUGCUAUUAUAAACAUAGUGGUUGCUAUGGUAGUGGUGGCUAGGUUGUUACUAGGGUAACUGAGAAGUUUGCUAUGGUGUUGCUAGGGUAGAUAUAGUGGGGGUUAUGCUAAAGAAAGCAGUUGCUAUGCUGGUUGCAAGGUUAAUCAUGUUGGUUGCAAUGGUGGUUGCUAGGCUGACAUUAUGGUGAUAGUUGUGAGGUUGUUGGUAGGGUAAUUAAGAUGGUUGCUAGGUUGUUGCUAUGGUACUUAUGUUAGUUGCUGCUAAACAUAGCGGUUGCUAUGGUGGUGGUUGCUAGGUUGUUGCUAGGGUAACUUAGAAGUUUGCUAUGGUGUUGAUUGGGUAGAUAUGACAGGGAUUAUGCUAAAUUAAGCAGUUGCUAAACUGGUUGCUAGGGUAAUGAUGUUGGUUGAUAAUAUCCAAUGGUUGCUAGGUUGUUGCUAGGGUAAUUGAGAUGGUUACUAGGGUCGAUAUGGUGGUAGCUAUGCUAAACAUAGCGGUUGCUAUAGUAGUGGUUGCUAGGUUGUUGCUAGGGUAACUGAGAAGGUUGCCAUGGUGUUGCUAGGGUAGAUAUGGUGGAGGUUAUGCAAAGCAGUUGUUAUACUGGUUGCUAUAUAUUUUCUGAAAGACCAUCGCCUCUUGUAGGUCAAAUAAUAUGAAUUAAGACAUGUCCCACCUUCCUACUUACUUUGGUAUAUCAUAAAGUGUACAUAGGCCCAUAUUGUAGAUCGAGAAACCAAUAUAACUAUAGCCUGUAGAUGUCAAUUAAUAUCAAUUAUGACAUGUCCCACAUUCCGACUUACUUUGGUGCAUCAUAUAUGCUUAAGCAAUACUGCUAUUUUUGCUCUUAUACUAUAAAAAUCCAUAAUCACAUUAAAAACGAUUACAAUUGUUUUUGAGAGGGAAUUUCUGUAAAUCUUGCUUGAAAUUGUACCCGUAUGUUAAUUGACUAUCAUACUAUUUUAUUGUCAUCCUUCUUUGGGACUUGAGUACUUCAUUAUCCCCUUCAUGUAUCAAUGUACAAUGUACAUUAAAGCAUCUAUGAUUGGAAA
This is a long non-coding RNA of Alosa sapidissima (American shad), 2510 nucleotides long. RefSeq lists it as uncharacterized. The transcript is spliced from 3 exons. Lineage: Eukaryota; Metazoa; Chordata; Actinopteri; Clupeiformes; Clupeidae. The record is from RefSeq and is a predicted model, not a curated record.